UACGGAGGAUCCGAGCGUUAUCCGGAAUCAUUGGGUUUAAAGGGUCCGUAGGCGGGCGCUUAAGUCAGCGGUGAAAUUCUGCAGCUCAACUGUAGGACUGCCGUUGAUACUGGGCGUCUUGAAUAGAUGUGAAGUGGUCGGAAUAUGUGGUGUAGCGGUGAAAUGCUUAGAUAUCACAUGGAACACCUAUUGCGAAGGCAGGUCACUAACAUUUUAUUGACGCUGAUGGACGAAAGCGUGGGGAGCGAACAGG
RNAcentral lists this ribosomal RNA (253 nucleotides) under uncultured bacterium. RNAcentral describes it as "partial 16S ribosomal RNA". It matches the Rfam family "Bacterial small subunit ribosomal RNA", at positions 524 to 776 of the family's 1533-position model. The record is from RNAcentral.